Molecule: ribosomal RNA, 407 nt
Filed under: uncultured bacterium
Lineage: Bacteria
Description: partial 16S ribosomal RNA
Rfam family: Bacterial small subunit ribosomal RNA
Source: RNAcentral
AUUGAACGCUGGCGGCAGGCCUAACACAUGCAAGUAGAGCGGAACGACGGCCGGAAGAGUAAUGCCUAGGAAUCUGCCGGGUCGUAGGGGAGAACGUCAGGAAAAGGGCGCUAAUACCGCAUAGUAGAUGCUUCGCCUUGUACGGAUUCUCCAGUUGGUGGGGUAAAGGCCUACAAAGGGGACGAUCCGGAACUGGUCUGAGAGGAUGAUCAGUCACACUGGAACUGAGACACGGUCCAGAUUCCUACGGGAGGCAGCAGUGGGGAUCAUUGGACAAUGGGCGAAAGCCUGAUCCAGCCAUGCCGCGUGUGUGAAGAAGGUCUUCGGAUUGUAAAGCACUUUAAGUUGGGAGGCGUUACCAAAAGAAUAAGCACCUGCUAACUUCGUGCCAGCAGCCGCGGUAAUUC